UAAAUCAUUCUGUUAUAAAGACACAUGAACACAUAUGUCCACUGCAGCAAUAUACACAAUAGCAAAAACAUGGAAUCAAUCUAAAUUGUCCAUCAACGAUAGACUGUAUAAAGAAAAUGUGGCACAUAUACACCAUGGAAUACAAUGCAGCUAUAAGGAACAACCAGAUGAUGUCCUUUGCAGGGACGUGAAUGGAGCUGCAGUCCAUUAUUCUUAGCAAGCUAACACAGGAAUAGAAAACCAAAUAUCUCCAUGUUCUCUUAUAAGUGGGAGCUAAAUGAUAAGAACACAUGGACACAUAGAGGGGAAGAACACACUCAGAGUUCCUGAAACCAUUGGUCUGGUUUCCAAUGAGUGGGGCAAUCAGACACACAAGCACACCAAGGCUUAACCGCUCUGCUCACUGGAAGGGAAAGAAACUACCCAGGAAUGCCACCUGCUUCCAACUAGCUGAUCCCAUGAUUGAGGCUCUAGGGAAUUUCUCUUUACCUGCUGAGAUAUUUCUGUCUUGGGGAACCUCCUUUCUCUUCUUGCCACUGCACCAGCUGCCAACUACACUUCCUUACCACAGGGCAAGUGACAUCUGAAGAGGCUGACAGACUUCAGAGCUGGGUAAGGCAACCAGAAUACCCCCUGAACUGCCUCUGCCUGUUCUGUGAUGUCACCUGACCUCUGCUCUGUUUACAUAUAGCUGCUUGUGACAUCAUCUGGGCAUGUAUGGUAUCUGUAUCUACGUCAAGACCUGGGCUUUGCUCCACUUGGAGUCAGCUGAUUGACAGGAGGGCAUCUGAAAUUGAGAGGAGAUUUCAGGACGUUUACCCAGCCCUUUAGUGGGGAUCUGUCCGGGACUGUGCAGUCUGAACCUGCAACUGUAAAAGUCUCAGGAUGUAACCUUGAAGCAAACUGCAGAAACCAUUGCCUCAGUCUUCAAGUAGAACCUUGAAAUAUACUUUGGAACCACACCCCAUUCAGUUUCCCACUGUACAUGUCCAUGCCUUAUACACAUUUAUCUAACUGUAUGCUGGCGAAACUCACACAAUGCAUAAUUAUCUAACUAUAUGCCUGUCAAAAAAUACCAGAGGCUAAUUUAAAAUGAAUCAAACAUACAGGCCCAGCUGUGGUAUUGUCUCUCUCUUAAAGAUUGCCUCUGGAUGGAUACCUAUGGUCUGGCACUAUCAAGAUGGUAUCAGUCUGUGGCUCCAGGUGGACCAUAACUCAAGAUACACAUGGGAGUAAGACACAGACUCCCUGAAUCUGCACACCUCCUGCAUGCCUCCCAUGUUAUGCAUUAUGCUUCCCUUUCUUUAAAAACCUGCCCUCAGUCCAACCUUGUGAACUGGUUUAUACAGGUGUCAUCCAGCCAUUUCCCUACUGCUGGAUUUGAAAAAUAAAGUCACUUUCC
This 1402-nucleotide long non-coding RNA is filed under the name Homo sapiens (human). RNAcentral's name for it is "HSALNT0217402". Lineage: Eukaryota; Metazoa; Chordata; Mammalia; Primates; Hominidae. The record is from RNAcentral.